CCUACGGGAGGCAGCAGUAGGGAAUUUUCCACAAUGGGCGAAAGCCUGAUGGAGCAAUACCGCGUGCAGGAUGAAGGCCUUCGGGUCGUAAACUGCUUUUAUGUGCGAAGAAUUUGACGGUAACACAUGAAUAGGGAUCGGCUAACUACGUGCCAGCAGCCGCGGUCAUACGUAGGAUCCAAGCGUUAUCCGGAAUUACUGGGCGUAAAGAGUUGCGUAGGUGGCAUUAUAAGUGGAGCGUGAAAGCGUGCGGCUCAACCGCAUUAUUGCGUUCCAAACUGUGAAGCUUGAGUAUGAGAGAGGUAGAUGGAAUUUCUAGUGUAGGAGUGAAAUCCGUAGAUAUUAGAAGGAACACCGAUGGCGUAGGCAGUCUACUGGCCCAUUACUGACACUAAGGCACGAAAGCGUGGGGAGCAAACGGGAUUAGAUACCCCGGUAGUCCACGCUGUAAACUAUGGAUGCUAGCUGUGACACACAUCGACCUGUGUCGUAGCGAAGUUAACGCGUUAAGCAUCCCGCCUGGGGAUACGGUCGCAAGAUUAAAACUCAAAGGAAUUGACGG
Molecule: ribosomal RNA, 562 nt
Filed under: uncultured bacterium
Lineage: Bacteria
Description: bacterial SSU rRNA
Rfam family: Bacterial small subunit ribosomal RNA
Source: RNAcentral